Molecule: ribosomal RNA, 2902 nt
Filed under: Klebsiella pneumoniae
Lineage: Bacteria; Pseudomonadati; Pseudomonadota; Gammaproteobacteria; Enterobacterales; Enterobacteriaceae
Also listed under: 2 other names
Description: 23S ribosomal RNA
Rfam family: Bacterial large subunit ribosomal RNA
Source: RNAcentral
GGUUAAGCGACUAAGCGUACACGGUGGAUGCCCUGGCAGUCAGAGGCGAUGAAGGACGUGCUAAUCUGCGAAAAGCGUCGGUAAGGUGAUAUGAACCGUUAUAACCGGCGAUGUCCGAAUGGGGAAACCCAGUGCAAUUCGUUGCACUAUCGUUAACUGAAUACAUAGGUUAACGAGGCGAACCGGGGGAACUGAAACAUCUAAGUACCCCGAGGAAAAGAAAUCAACCGAGAUUCCCCCAGUAGCGGCGAGCGAACGGGGAGCAGCCCAGAGUCUGAAUCAGCUUGUGUGUUAGUGGAACGGUCUGGAAAGUCCGACGGUACAGGGUGAUAGUCCCGUACACCAAAAUGCACAGGUUGUGAACUCGAAGAGUAGGGCGGGACACGUGGUAUCCUGUCUGAAUAUGGGGGGACCAUCCUCCAAGGCUAAAUACUCCUGACUGACCGAUAGUGAACCAGUACCGUGAGGGAAAGGCGAAAAGAACCCCGGCGAGGGGAGUGAAAAAGAACCUGAAACCGUGUACGUACAAGCAGUGGGAGCACCUUCGGGUGUGACUGCGUACCUUUUGUAUAAUGGGUCAGCGACUUAUAUUCUGUAGCAAGGUUAACCGUAUAGGGGAGCCGCAGGGAAACCGAGUCUUAACUGGGCGUUAAGUUGCAGGGUAUAGACCCGAAACCCGGUGAUCUAGCCAUGGGCAGGUUGAAGGUUGGGUAACACUAACUGGAGGACCGAACCGACUAAUGUUGAAAAAUUAGCGGAUGACUUGUGGCUGGGGGUGAAAGGCCAAUCAAACCGGGAGAUAGCUGGUUCUCCCCGAAAGCUAUUUAGGUAGCGCCUCGUGAAUUCAUCUUCGGGGGUAGAGCACUGUUUCGGCUAGGGGGUCAUCCCGACUUACCAACCCGAUGCAAACUACGAAUACCGAAGAAUGUUAUCACGGGAGACACACGGCGGGUGCUAACGUCCGUCGUGAAGAGGGAAACAACCCAGACCGCCAGCUAAGGUCCCAAAGUCAUGGUUAAGUGGGAAACGAUGUGGGAAGGCACAGACAGCCAGGAUGUUGGCUUAGAAGCAGCCAUCAUUUAAAGAAAGCGUAAUAGCUCACUGGUCGAGUCGGCCUGCGCGGAAGAUGUAACGGGGCUAAACCAUGCACCGAAGCUGCGGCAGCGACACUAUGUGUUGUUGGGUAGGGGAGCGUUCUGUAAGCCUGCGAAGGUGACCUGUGAGGGUUGCUGGAGGUAUCAGAAGUGCGAAUGCUGACAUAAGUAACGAUAAAGCGGGUGAAAAGCCCGCUCGCCGGAAGACCAAGGGUUCCUGUCCAACGUUAAUCGGGGCAGGGUGAGUCGACCCCUAAGGCGAGGCCGAAAGGCGUAGUCGAUGGGAAACAGGUUAAUAUUCCUGUACUUGGUGUUACUGCGAAGGGGGGACGGAGAAGGCUAUGUUAGCCGGGCGACGGUUGUCCCGGUUUAAGCAUGUAGGCUGAUUAUCCAGGCAAAUCCGGAUAAUCAAGGCUGAGGUGUGAUGACGAGGCACUACGGUGCUGAAGUAACAAAUGCCCUGCUUCCAGGAAAAGCCUCUAAGCAUCAGGUAACAUCAAAUCGUACCCCAAACCGACACAGGUGGUCAGGUAGAGAAUACCAAGGCGCUUGAGAGAACUCGGGUGAAGGAACUAGGCAAAAUGGUGCCGUAACUUCGGGAGAAGGCACGCUGGUGUGUAGGUGAAGCCCCUGCGGGUGGAGCUGAGACCAGUCGAAGAUACCAGCUGGCUGCAACUGUUUAUUAAAAACACAGCACUGUGCAAACACGAAAGUGGACGUAUACGGUGUGACGCCUGCCCGGUGCCGGAAGGUUAAUUGAUGGGGUUAUCCGUAAGGAGAAGCUCUUGAUCGAAGCCCCGGUAAACGGCGGCCGUAACUAUAACGGUCCUAAGGUAGCGAAAUUCCUUGUCGGGUAAGUUCCGACCUGCACGAAUGGCGUAAUGAUGGCCAGGCUGUCUCCACCCGAGACUCAGUGAAAUUGAACUCGCUGUGAAGAUGCAGUGUACCCGCGGCAAGACGGAAAGACCCCGUGAACCUUUACUAUAGCUUGACACUGAACAUUGAGCCUUGAUGUGUAGGAUAGGUGGGAGGCUUUGAAGCGUGGACGCCAGUCUGCGUGGAGCCAACCUUGAAAUACCACCCUUUAAUGUUUGAUGUUCUAACGUUGGCCCCUGACCGGGGUUGCGGACAGUGUCUGGUGGGUAGUUUGACUGGGGCGGUCUCCUCCCAAAGCGUAACGGAGGAGCACGAAGGUUAGCUAAUCCUGGUCGGACAUCAGGAGGUUAGUGCAAUGGCAUAAGCUAGCUUGACUGCGAGCGUGACGGCGCGAGCAGGUGCGAAAGCAGGUCAUAGUGAUCCGGUGGUUCUGAAUGGAAGGGCCAUCGCUCAACGGAUAAAAGGUACUCCGGGGAUAACAGGCUGAUACCGCCCAAGAGUUCAUAUCGACGGCGGUGUUUGGCACCUCGAUGUCGGCUCAUCACAUCCUGGGGCUGAAGUAGGUCCCAAGGGUAUGGCUGUUCGCCAUUUAAAGUGGUACGCGAGCUGGGUUUAGAACGUCGUGAGACAGUUCGGUCCCUAUCUGCCGUGGGCGCUGGAGAAUUGAGGGGGGCUGCUCCUAGUACGAGAGGACCGGAGUGGACGCAUCACUGGUGUUCGGGUUGUCAUGCCAAUGGCACUGCCCGGUAGCUAAAUGCGGAAGAGAUAAGUGCUGAAAGCAUCUAAGCACGAAACUUGCCCCGAGAUGAGUUCUCCCUGAGACUUUAAGUCUCCUGAAGGAACGUUGAAGACGACGACGUUGAUAGGCCGGGUGUGUAAGCGCAGCGAUGCGUUGAGCUAACCGGUACUAAUGAACCGUGAGGCUUAACCUU